Molecule: long non-coding RNA, 318 nt
Filed under: Equus caballus (horse)
Lineage: Eukaryota; Metazoa; Chordata; Mammalia; Perissodactyla; Equidae
Description: lncRNA (ENSECAG00000053065.1)
Source: RNAcentral
UUUCUGCCACCCCUCUGGGAUUCUUACUGCCGACAGAGCAGAUCAGCCUGACACCUGUAUUCUCACGUAAUGCACAGAUAAGCGCUCAGAAAGGACAGGGCCUUGCAGUGUGCCCCUGGCAUAGGGAGGACUCACAUUUCAUUCCAUGGAAGGACUUCGAUUGGUGGAGGCUGCCUAAACCAGCACCUGUGAGACUUCCUUGUGCAGGCAUGAAUUCAAUUUUUCCAGCCCUCAGGAUUUUAGAAACAACCUUUGGAAGGCAUCACAUAAGACCAUGCAUUCAACAUCUCAGUACAGACAUUACAGUCACCAAGCCCA